RNAcentral lists this ribosomal RNA (1092 nucleotides) under Triticum aestivum (bread wheat). RNAcentral describes it as "partial small subunit ribosomal RNA". Lineage: Eukaryota; Viridiplantae; Streptophyta; Magnoliopsida; Poales; Poaceae. The record is from RNAcentral.
AUGGCGGCCGAGGCUCAGCAAUUGACCGUUCCCACCGAGGCAGAGCUUCUGCAGGGGCAGGCCGACCUUUGGCGCCACAGCCUCUACUACAUGACCUCCAUGGCAUUCCAGUGCGCCGUCAAGCUCGGCGUCCCAACCACCAUCCACAGCCUGGGUGGCGCGGCAUCGCUGCCCGAUCUGGUCGUCGCGCUGUCCCUUCCACCUGCCAAGCUGCCUUACCUCUGUCGCAUCAUGCGGCUGCUGGCUACCUCCGGCGUCUUCGCCGCUGAUAACGCCACCGACGUGGUCACCUACCGCCUGACCCCGCUGUCCUGGCUCCUGCUUGACGGCGUCGCCGUAGAAGGCCACCCAAGCCAAAGCUCCCUUGUGCUCGCCGCAACCUCGAGAAACUGCCUUGAGGCUGCGAUGGGGCUCUCCGACUGGUUCAAGAAGGACGUCGCGGCGUCGCCAUUUGAGGAUCUCCAUGGCGUCACCCUCUUCGACGGGAGCAUGGCGGAACAAGACCCCGAGAUCGAUGCCGUGUUCAACGACGCUCUGGCGUCCCAUGAUAACUCCGGGUUCCUCACGGUCCUGCGGGAGUGCGGCACCAUCUUCCAGGGGCUCGAGUCCCUGACCGACUGCUGUGGUGGCGACGGCACGACAGCGAGAGCCAUCGUGGAGACCUUUCCGCAAAUCAAGUGCACCGUGCUCGACCUUCCGCGGGUGAUCGACAAUGUCCAAGCAGAUGGUGUGGUUAACUACGUGGCCGGUGACAUGUUCAAGUCCGUCCCACCUGCUCAUGCUGUGUUGAUCAAGCUUGUGCUGCACCACUGGAGUGAUGAGGACUGUGUGAAGAUCCUUGCUCAAUGCAAGAAGGCCAUCCCUUCGCGGGAAGAGGGAGGGAAAGUGAUGGUGAUCGACAUAGUUGUAGACUCUUCUUCGGGACCAACGCACGAAGCAGAGCUCCUGAUGGAUGUAGCCAUGAUGGUGAUGACCAAUGGCCGGCAGCGAGAUGAAACUGACUGGAGCGAGAUAUUCACCAAGGCAGGAUUCAAUGACUACAAACUUGUGAAGAAACUCGGAGCUCGAGGUGUCUUUGAGGUCUACCCAUGA